This 970-nucleotide ribosomal RNA is filed under the name Bacillus sp. (in: firmicutes). RNAcentral's name for it is "bacterial SSU rRNA". It matches the Rfam family "Bacterial small subunit ribosomal RNA", at positions 48 to 1002 of the family's 1533-position model. The record is from RNAcentral. Lineage: Bacteria; Bacillati; Bacillota; Bacilli; Caryophanales; Bacillaceae.
GCUAUACAUGCAGUCGAGCGGACGCACUUGGGAGCUUGCUCCCUUGGUUCAGCGGCGGACGGGUGAGUAACACGUGGGCAACCUGCCCGGCAGACUGGGAUAACUUCGGGAAACCGGAGCUAAUACCGGAUAAUUUGUUCCCUCUCAUGGGGAAAGCUGAAAGAUGGUUUCGGCUGUCCUUACAGGAGGGGCCGCGGCGCAUUAGCUAGUUGGUGAGGUAACGGCUCACCAAGGCCACGAUGCGUAGCCGACCUGAGAGGGUGAUCGGCCACACUGGGACUGAGACACGGCCCAGACUCCUACGGGAGGCAGCAGUAGGGAAUCUUCCGCAAUGGACGAAAGUCUGACGGAGCAACGCCGCGUGAGUGAAGAAGGUUUUCGGAUCGUAAAACUCUGUUGUUAGGGAAGAACAAGUACCGGAUUACCUGCGGGACCCUUGCCGGACCCCAACCAAAAAGCCCCGGUAAAUUACUGGCCACCACCCCCGUAAUUACUAAGUGGGCAGCCUUUGCCCGGAUUUAUGGGCGUAAAACGCGCGGCAGGCGGUUCCUUAAUCCGAAUGUGAAACCCAACGGUUCACCCUGGAAGGGUCAUUGAAACUGGGGGAACUUGAUUGCAAAAAAGAAGUGGAAAUUCCCUUGUACGGUGAAAUGGCUAAAAUGGUGAAGAAACACCAUUGCCAAAGGCAACUCUUUGUCCUGUACUUGACGCUAAGGCGAAAGCCUGGGGGAAGCAACAGGAAUUAUAUACUGGUUAUUCCACGCCGUACCAUGAAUGGCUAGUGGUAAGAGGGUUCCGCCCCUUUAAUGCCUGCACCAAACGCAUAAACCAUUUCCGCUGGGGAAUUACGGCGCCAAGGCUGAAACUCAAAGGAAUUGACCGGGGGCCCCACAAAGCCGGUGGAACAUGGUGUUUAUUCGAGCCACCGCCAAAGACCCUUACCAGGUCUUGACUUCUCCUGACAGCCCUA